GGGCAAGUUAGCCUUGCGGAACCUUGUUUGCUCAGCUGCGGCUAAUUUCUUUCUAAAGGGUGGUCUGAGGAUUUACUACUGGGUUAUGUGGAAGGCAGUCCAACAAAAGGUCAGCGUAAAGAAACACUGGACUUGGCGAAUUUUCCAUUCCUGAAGACACAGCCUCUGACAACCAUUCCUAAGGUCCUCUCAAGGCUCGGGGAAUUCGAUGUCAUGACUCUAAGGAGAAAACGGCUAAAAACAUGGAGAAUCCAAACACACUGCUGAAAGUUCAACCUUCCUAAUGGCAGUAGCAGCAUCCAUGGUCUGUCCCACUCACUUCCUCUUCCCAACCUUCGGUGACGAAUCUUAAGAAGCAGAAACAAGAAAGCUAUCGACAGACCAGAGAAGCUGUUGGUGGAGGUGCAAGAAGUAGGUGAAAUGCUCACCAGAGCGAUUUAAAACUGGUCAGAUAAAUGUGGGGCUUGAAAACACUCAGAAGAAACUCCUCCCUGCUGCCCUG
Bubalus bubalis (water buffalo) is the source of this 502-nucleotide long non-coding RNA. RefSeq lists it as uncharacterized. NCBI's taxonomy places the organism in Eukaryota, Metazoa, Chordata, Mammalia, Artiodactyla, Bovidae. The transcript is spliced from 3 exons. The record is from RefSeq and is a predicted model, not a curated record.